AGUUGCCCAGAGCCUGAGAAGCGGGAUCCCAAGUUCAAUAAGAACGCCUGGAGGCCAGACCUUGCGAAAUCCGCAAAUGGGGUGCCUGCAGAGAGAAAGGAUGUUUCUCUCAGUUAUUGGACCAGCUCCUGCCUUCAUGCCACCAUGCUCCCCACUAUGAUAAUGGACUACACCUAUGAAAAUGUGAGCAAGCCCCAGUAAAAUGUCUUCUUUGGUUGUGGCUCAUAAUCAUCUGUAAUGGGAUAUGAUGGACUCUUCUGGUGUGUCUGGGGACAGCAACAGUGUACUCAUACAAUCAAUCAAUCAAUCAAUCAAUAAAUAAAUGCAGAUUCAGUGGGCAAUGUAGCACCACAGUGUCCUGUGACAAACA
RNAcentral lists this long non-coding RNA (370 nucleotides) under Mus musculus (house mouse). Its description in RNAcentral is "predicted gene, 39213 (Gm39213)". Lineage: Eukaryota; Metazoa; Chordata; Mammalia; Rodentia; Muridae. The record is from RNAcentral.